GACGAACGCUGGCGGCGUGCUUAACACAUGCAAGUCGAACGCUGAAGCUCAGCUUGCUGGGUGGAUGAGUGGCGAACGGGUGAGUAACACGUGAGUAACCUGCCCCCCUCUUUGGGAUAACGCCCGGAAACGGGUGCUAAUACUGGAUAUUCACUGGCCUUCGCAUGGGGGUUGGUGGAAAGGUUUGUUCUGGUGGGGGAUGGGCUCGCGGCCUAUCAGCUUGUUGGUGGGGUGAUGGCCUACCAAGGCUUUGACGGGUAGCCGGCCUGAGAGGGUGACCGGUCACAUUGGGACUGAGAUACGGCCCAGACUCCUACGGGAGGCAGCAGUGGGGAAUAUUGCACAAUGGGCGAAAGCCUGAUGCAGCGACGCCGCGUGAGGGAUGGAGGCCUUCGGGUUGUAAACCUCUUUCGCUCAUGGUCAAGCCGCAACAGUGGUUGUGGUGAGGGUAGUGGGUAAAGAAGCGCCGGCUAACUACGUGCCAGCAGCCGCGGUAAUACGUAGGGCGCGAGCGUUGUCCGGAAUUAUUGGGCGUAAAGGGCUUGUAGGCGGUUGGUCGCGUCUGCCGUGAAAUCCUCUGGCUUAACUGGGGGCGUGCGGUGGGUACGGGCUGACUUGAGUGCGGUAGGGGAGACUGGAACUCCUGGUGUAGCGGUGGAAUGCGCAGAUAUCAGGAAGAACACCGGUGGCGAAGGCGGGUCUCUGGGCCGUUACUGACGCUGAGGAGCGAAAGCGUGGGGAGCGAACAGG
RNAcentral lists this ribosomal RNA (750 nucleotides) under uncultured Actinomyces sp. Its description in RNAcentral is "bacterial SSU rRNA". It matches the Rfam family "Bacterial small subunit ribosomal RNA", at positions 28 to 776 of the family's 1533-position model. Lineage: Bacteria; Bacillati; Actinomycetota; Actinomycetes; Actinomycetales; Actinomycetaceae. The record is from RNAcentral.